Long non-coding RNA from Salvelinus fontinalis (brook trout), 4111 nucleotides. RefSeq lists it as uncharacterized. The record is from RefSeq and is a predicted model, not a curated record. The transcript has 3 exons. NCBI's taxonomy places the organism in Eukaryota, Metazoa, Chordata, Actinopteri, Salmoniformes, Salmonidae.
CGCUAGAUGGCUACAGUAGGAGCCGUGGUAACCAAACAGACUCGCUAGAUGGCUACAGUAGGAGCCGUGGUAACCAAACAGACUCGCUAGAUGGCUACAGUAGGAGCCGUGGUAACCAAACAGACUCGCUAGAUGGCUACAGUAGGAGCCGUGGUAACCAAACAGACUCGCUAGUUUAGCUACAGUAGGAGCAGUGGUAACCAAACAGACUCGCUAGAUGGCUACAGUAGGAGCCGUGGUAACCAAACAGACUCGCUAGAUGGCUACAGUAGGAGCCGUGGUAACCAAACAGACUCGCUAGAUAUCUACAGUAGGAGCCGUGGUAACCAAACAGACUCGCUAGAUGGCUACAGUAGGAGCCGUGGUAACCAAACAGACUCGCUAGAUGGCUACAGUAGGAGCCGUGGUAACCAAACAGACUCGCUAGAUAUCUACAGUAGGAGCCGUGGUAACCAAACAGACUCGCUAGAUGGCUACAGUAGGAGCCGUGGUAACCAAACAGACUCGCUAGAUGGCUACAGUAGGAGCCGUGGUAACCAAACAGACUCGCUAGAUAUCUACAGUAGGAGCCGUGGUAACCAAACAGACUCGCUAGAUGGCUACAGUAGGAGCCGUGGUAACCAAACAGACUCGCUAGAUGGCUACAGUAGGAGCCGUGGUAACCAAACAGACUCGCUAGUUUAGCUACAGUAGGAGCCGUGGUAACCAAACAGACUCGCUAGUUUAGCUAACCAAACCAUCAUUCCUAGCUUGCUAUUAUGAAAAUCGAAUGUAACAAUGCCAAUAAUGUUUUCAAUUCGACUUUAGCUUUCAAAAGCAGCUCAAACAUAGAACAUGAACUAUUGAGUGCUCGCAGUUCACAUACGACGGCUCCUGUCUGCCAUGUUGGAAGACCAGCGCAUGAAUUCAUCCGACAACGGCAGAGUUGCUAACCCAAACUGCGUGAUAACGGUGCCUAAAACGAGUUGAUUCUUCACCACUCUCAUUUCCUGUGUGCUCUAUCUAACAAGGCAAGAAAGACAACGGGGAAAACACGUUUACAGAUUCCCCGCAAUCGUGAAACACCAUUGGUGACAGUGACACCAAUGAGAUAAGACUCAAGAACUGUCAGAAAAGCGAAGAAACCUUUUUGCCUGUCAAGAACUGAACCCAGACAGCUAUCAGUACACGGUCUGCUUCGAUCAUUUCAUCACUGCCAUGACCGUGAAGAAGGGAGACGCAAAUGGUACAGUGUGACGUCCAUACAGCCUGCAGGACAAUCUUGACCCAAAGACUCCAGUUCACCAGCGGACCUCUAGACCGGAUUCCCACUGUGAAGAUGAGCAACUCAGCAGCAUCAGAUUCUACCUUUACUACUUAGUCCUUUUCCAGAUAUGACAGGAGACAUCCCUCAGUUAGACUAGAUGGUUGUAAUAUGAUGUGGAUAUGACAGGAGACUCCCUCAGUUAGACUAGAUGGUUGUAAUAUGAUGUGGAUAUGACAGGAGACUCCCUCAGUUAGACUAGAUGGUUGUAAUAUGAUGUGGAUAUGACAGGAGACAUCCCUCAGUUAGACUAGAUGGUUGUAAUAUGAUGUGGAUAUGACAGGAGACAUCCCUUAGUUAGACUAGAUGGUUGUUAUAUGAUGUGGAUAUGACAGGAGACAUCCCUUAGUUGGGGAUACUGGAGGACUGGAGUUGGGCUGUUGGGGGUACUGGAGGACUGGAGUUGGGCUGUUGGGGGUACUGGAGGACUGGAGUUGGGCUGUUGGGGAUACUGGAGGACUGGAGUUGGGCCGUUGGGGGGUACUGGAGGACUGGAGAUGGGCUGUUGGGGGUACUGGAGGACGGAACCACUGCUGUAGGUAGAUGGCUGCAUUGGCGUUGCAUGCCAUUAACAGCUGCAAAAUGGGUUCACAUGGCUGAUAUCCUGAAAAGAAUUAUGACAAUCAAAUAAAACUAAUUGGAGAGCUUAUGCCUGAACAAAAAGGUCAUGUUCAUUUAAGAAUACAACACAAAAACAUCAGAGAGAUUUCCCUCUUUAUUGCAGGAUUGGGAUCCAGCAGCAUACCACCCUGCAUACCACUACUGGCUUGCUUCUGAAGCUAAGCAGGGUUGGUCCUGGUCAGUCCCUGGAUGGGAGACCAGAUGCUGCUGGAAGUGGUGUUGGAGUGCCAGUAGGAAGCACUCUUUCCUCUGGUCUAAAAAAUAUCCCAAUGCCCCAGGGCAGUGAUUGGGGACACUGUCCUGUGUAGGGUGGCGUCUUUCGGAUGGGACGUUAAACGGGUGUCCUGACUCUCUGAGGUCAUUAAAGAUCCCAUGGCACUUAUCGUAAGAGUAGGGGUGUUAACCCCGGUGUCCUGGCUAAAUUCCCAAUCUGGCCCUCAAACCAUCAUGGUCACCUAAUAAUCCCCAGUUUACAAUUGGCUCAUUCAUCCCCCUCCUCUCCCCUGUAACUAUUCCCCAGGUCGUUGCUGCAAAUGAGAACGUGUUCUCAGUCAACUUACCUGGUAAAAUAAAAUAAAAAUAAAAAAUCUGUGAUUAAUCAACAGACACGAGUUAAUCUUGAAAAAUAGUUUCGUUAACAAUUAAAACAAGUUUAAUUAAACACUUUAACUUCAAAGAAUCAACACUAUUUCGUAUCAUUUCAAAGUAUACAAAUAAGCGAACUCGUUGUAAAGGUUAGACAGUUUAUUAACAAGAAGACUAUUAUUACUAAAGCAGCAUUUCAGGAGAAGAAAAACCAGCCAAUACCAGAGGUGGUCAACCUCGCUCAGCUGCUCAUUGAUCUACUGGGGAGCAGACUUCUGUUCCAGCCCAGCAAUAGCACCUUGAUUAGGUUUGUUAGUGCUGGUCUGGAACACCCAGCAGGGGUGACCUGCUCCAGUUGUAAUAGCAAUAAAAGAAGCGUCUCUUUUUCAAAGACCCUGUCUUUUAAAGAUAAUUCGUAAACAUCUAAAUAACUUCCCAGAUCUUCAUUGUAAAGGGUUUAAACACUGUUUCCCUGCAGAUCUUCAUUGUAAAGGGUUUAAACACUGUAUCCCCAUGCUUGUUCAAUGAACCAUAAACAAUUAAAGAACAUGCACCUGUGGAACGGUCGUUAAGACACUAACAGCUUACAGACGGUAGGCAAUUAAGGUCACAGUUAUGAAAACGUGGGACACUAAAGAGACCUUUCUACUGACUCUGAAAAACACCAAAAGAAAGAUGCCCAGGGUCCCUGCUCAUCUGCGUGAACGUGCAGUAGGCAUGCUGCAAGGAGGCAUGAGGACUGCAGAUGUGGCCAGGGCAAUAAAUUGCAAUGUCCGUACUGUGAGACGCCUAAGACAGCGCUACAGAGAGUCAGGACGGACAGCUGAUCGUCCUCGCAGUUGCAGACCACGUGUAACAACACCUGCACAGGGGAAGCGACGGGGGAAGCGGGGUCAUGUCAUGACAACUUUUAUAAAAUGAUGAUAUGAAAAGAUAUACUUUCUGUGUGAACAUGUCCAAAUGAUCCAAUAGAUUAUAAUUUUCUGGUAAAAAGGUGGAUGACAAAGCCCCACCCACACACCUGCCUUUACACAAAGCCCCACCCACACACCUGCCUUUACACAAAGCCCCACACACACACCUGCCUUUACACAAAGCCCCAACCACACACCUGCCUUUACACAAAGCCCCACCCACACACCAGCCUUUACACAAAGCCCCACCCACACACCUGCCUUUACACAAAGCCCCACCCACACGCCCGCCUUUACAUAAAGCGCCACCCACACACCUGCCUUUACAUCAAGCCCCACCCACAACACCCGCCUUUACACAAAGCCUCGUCCACACACCUACCUUUACAUAAAGCCCCACCCACCCACACAUCUGCCUUCACACAAAGCCCCACCCACAAACCUGCCUUUACACAAAGCCCCACCCACCCACCUUCACACAAAGCCUCUUCCACACACACAUACAGUGCCUUGUGAAAGUAUUCAUACCCCUUGCCGGUUUUCCUAUUUUGUUGUAUUACAACCUGUAAUUUAAAUUGAUUUUUACUUGGAUUUCAUGUAAUGGACAUACACAAAAUAGUCCAAAUUGGUGAAGUGAAGAUAAAAAGAUAACUUGUUAAUAAAAAUUAAACAAAAUAAAAACAGAAAA